This 486-nucleotide ribosomal RNA is filed under the name uncultured bacterium. Its description in RNAcentral is "bacterial SSU rRNA". It matches the Rfam family "Bacterial small subunit ribosomal RNA", at positions 29 to 507 of the family's 1533-position model. The record is from RNAcentral.
AGUGAACGCUGGCGGCAGGCCUAAUACAUGCAAGUCGAACGGCAGCACAGUGGAGCUUGCUCCAUGGGUGGCGAGUGGCGGACGGGUGAGGAAUACAUGGGAAUCUGCCCAGUCGUGGGGGAUAACGUAUGGAAACGUACGCUAAUACCGCAUGCGCCCUUCGGGGAAAGUCGGGGACCGCAAGGCCUGACGCGAUUGGAUGAGCCCAUGUUCGAUUAGCUAGUUGGCGGGGUAACGGCCCACCAAGGCGACGAUCGAUAGCUGGUCUGAGAGGAUGAUCAGCCACACUGGAACUGAGACACGGUCCAGACUCCUACGGGAGGCAGCAGUAGGGAAUAUUGGACAAUGGGCGCAAGCCUGAUCCAGCCAUGCCGCGUGAGUGAAGAAGGCCCUCGGGUUGUAAAGCUCUUUGUUGGGGAAAAAGCAGUUGGUUAAUACCCGAUUGUUCUGACGGUACCCAAAGAAUAAGCACCGGCUAACUUCGUG